CCUACGGGGGGCAGCAGUAGGGAAUUUUCGUCAAUGGGCGCAAGUCUGAACGAGCAAUGCCGCGUGAACGAGGAAGGUCUUCGGAUCGUAAAGUUCUGUUGAAGGGGAAAAAGAGCGGUGAGAGUAAAUGCUUCCUGAUUGAUAUUACUCUUCGAGGAAGUCACGGCUAACUACGUGCCAGCAGCCGCGAUAAUACGUAGGUGGCGAGCGUUAUCCGGAAUGUUUGGGCGUAAAGGGUGCGUAGGCGGCCUGCUAAGUCUGGAGUGAAAGGUACCGGCUCAACCGGUACAGGCUCUGGAAACUGGCGGACUAGAGAGCAGGAGAGGGCAGUGGAACUCCAUGUGUAGCGGUAAAAUGCGUAGAUAUAUGGAAGAACACCAGUGGCGAAGGCGGCCGCCUGGCCUGUUACUGACGCUGAGGCACGAAAGCGUGGGGAGCAAAUAGGAUUAGAUACCCCAGUAGUC
This 464-nucleotide ribosomal RNA is filed under the name uncultured bacterium. Its description in RNAcentral is "partial 16S ribosomal RNA". It matches the Rfam family "Bacterial small subunit ribosomal RNA", at positions 338 to 795 of the family's 1533-position model. The record is from RNAcentral.